GCGGAUGCUAGCGGUGACGGCGGUGGUGCAAUCUGGAAAUGGGGAGCUACGUCACUGUUGUCAUCGUCAUCAUCGUCAUC
Non-coding RNA from Pteropus alecto (black flying fox), 80 nucleotides. NCBI's taxonomy places the organism in Eukaryota, Metazoa, Chordata, Mammalia, Chiroptera, Pteropodidae. The record is from Rfam.